AGCAGUCGCCGCGGUAAUACGAAGGGGGCUAGCGUUGUUCGGAAUUACUGGGCGUAAAGCGCACGUAGGCGGAUAUUUAAGUCAGGGGUGAAAUCCCAGAGCUCAACUCUGGAACUGCCUUUGAUACUGGGUAUCUUGAGUACGGAAGAGGUGAGUGGAAUUCCGAGCGUAGAGGUGAAAUUCGUAGAUAUUCGGAGGAACACCAGUGGCGAAGGCGACUCUCUGGUCUGUAACUGACGCUGAGGAGCGAAAGCGUGGGGAGCGAACAGGAUUAGAUACCCGCGUAGUCCCUGUCUCUUAUAC
Molecule: ribosomal RNA, 303 nt
Filed under: uncultured bacterium
Lineage: Bacteria
Description: partial 16S ribosomal RNA
Rfam family: Bacterial small subunit ribosomal RNA
Source: RNAcentral